GCCUUCGAGAAUCUUCGGUGCGCCAAGUCUGUUCGCCGCCGGGGUCUAUCACCCCCGCCCCUCGCCUCUGCCCCAGCUGGCUUGGCUUUUUCAGAGGAAACAGAGACUCUCAGACAUGAAUACUGUGACACUGACCACCAGGCCAACUUAACAUCAGCAGAUAUCCUGUCUCAGAUGAAGAGAAUGGCCUGUCCAGAAGACAGCCAAAUACAUCCUUCAAACAGACUUCACUGCAGGAGACAGAGUGGAUUCAUCCUGUAUUCUCCAUGUAGACUUCCAUCUUCAUGAGUACUCCAAGAAGAUGGUUCAGUUGACUAUUGCAAAGGUAAAAAUCCAAGAGAUACAGAUACAGAAUAGGACAGAGAGACAUAUUUUUAAGCUAUUGAUUACAAUUAUGGUAUGCCUAUAGAUUGCAGAACCGAGGAGAAAGGGAACAUUAUGAUUUACCAUCAAGAAAAACUUGGAAUUGGUGCUGAGUAGUUCAUUCUAAGAAUUAUCAUUUAUCUGUAUUUGCCCCCAUUUUCAUUGUUACUAGGCC
RNAcentral lists this long non-coding RNA (538 nucleotides) under Pan troglodytes (chimpanzee). RNAcentral describes it as "long non-coding RNA NONPTRT002315". The record is from RNAcentral. Lineage: Eukaryota; Metazoa; Chordata; Mammalia; Primates; Hominidae.